CACGUAGGGCGCAAGCGUUGUCCGGAAUUAUUGGGCGUAAAGAGCUCGUAGGCGGUCUGUUGCGUCCGCUGUGAAAACUCGGGGCUUAACCCCGGGCCUGCAGUGGAUACGGGCAGACUAGAGGUAGGUAGGGGAGAAUGGAAUUCCCGGUGUAGCGGUGAAAUGCGCAGAUAUCGGGAGGAACACCGGUGGCGAAGGCGGUUCUCUGGGCCUUACCUGACGCUGAGGAGCGAAGGCGUGGGGAGCGAACAGGG
RNAcentral lists this ribosomal RNA (254 nucleotides) under uncultured bacterium. RNAcentral describes it as "partial 16S ribosomal RNA". It matches the Rfam family "Bacterial small subunit ribosomal RNA", at positions 524 to 777 of the family's 1533-position model. The record is from RNAcentral.